Molecule: ribosomal RNA, 440 nt
Filed under: uncultured bacterium
Lineage: Bacteria
Description: partial 16S ribosomal RNA
Rfam family: Bacterial small subunit ribosomal RNA
Source: RNAcentral
CCUACGGGCGGCUGCAGUAGGGAAUAUUGCUCAAUGGGGGAAACCCUGAAGCAGCAACGCCGCGUGGAGGAUGAAGGUUUUCGGAUUAUAAACUCCUUUUGUUAGAGAAGAUAAUGACGGUAUCUAACGAAUAAGCACCGGCUAACUCCGGGCCAGCAGCCGCGGUACUACGGCGGGUGCAAGCGUUAUUCGGAAUCACUGGGCGUAAAGAGCGCGUAGGCGGGAUAGCAAGUCAGAUGUGAAAUCCUAUGGGUUAACCAUAGAACUGCAUUUGAAACUGUUAUUCUAGAGUAUGGGAGAGGUAGGUGGAAUGCUUGGUGUAGGGGUAAAAUCCGUAGAGAUCAAGAGGAAUACUCAUUGCGAAGGCGGCCUGCUAGAACAUAACUGACGCUGAUGCGCGAAAGCGUGGGGAGCAAACAGGAUUAGAUACCCGAGUAGUC